Molecule: non-coding RNA, 73 nt
Organism: Stegodyphus mimosarum
Lineage: Eukaryota; Metazoa; Arthropoda; Arachnida; Araneae; Eresidae
Source: Rfam
GCCUUCAUUGUGUAAUGUCCAGCACACUCGACGCUUAUUCGAGAGGUCCGAGGUUCGAGUCCCGGCGAGGGCA